UGAGGAAUAUUGGUCAAUGGGCGAGAGCCUGAACCAGCCAAGUCGCGUGAGGGAAGACGGUCCUACGGAUUGUAAACCUCUUUUGCCGGGGAGCAAAGGGGCCAUUGAUGGCAGGAUGAGCGUACCCGGAGAAAAAGCAUCGGCUAACUCCGUGCCAGCAGCCGCGGUAAUACGGAGGAUCCGAGCGUUAUCCGGAUUUAUUGGGUUUAAAGGGUGCGUAGGCGGGGCAUCAAGUCAGUGGUGAAAUGGUGUGGCUCAACCAUAGCAUUGCCGUUGAAACUGAUACCCUUGAGUGCAGUAGAGGUAUGCGGAAUGUGUUGUGUAGCGGUGAAAUGCAUAGAUAUGACACAGAACACCGAUUGCGAAGGCAGCAUACUGGACUGUAACUGACGCUGAAGCACGAAAGCGUGGGGAUCGAACAGGAUUAGAUACCCUGGUAGU
Molecule: ribosomal RNA, 441 nt
Filed under: uncultured Paludibacter sp.
Lineage: Bacteria; Pseudomonadati; Bacteroidota; Bacteroidia; Bacteroidales; Paludibacteraceae
Description: bacterial SSU rRNA
Rfam family: Bacterial small subunit ribosomal RNA
Source: RNAcentral